UACGUAGGGUGCAAGCGUUAAUCGGAAUUACUGGGCGUAAAGCGUGCGCAGGCGGUUCUAUAAGACAGAUGUGAAAUCCCCGGGCUCAACCUGGGAACUGCAUUUGUGACUGUAGAGCUGGAGUGCGGCAGAGGGGGAGGGAAUUCCGCGUGUAGCAGUGAAAUGCGUAGAUAUGCGGAGGAACACCGAUGGCGAAGGCAAUCCCCUGGGCCUGCACUGACGCUCAGGUGCGAAAGCCAGGGGAGCGAACGGG
Molecule: ribosomal RNA, 253 nt
Filed under: uncultured bacterium
Lineage: Bacteria
Description: partial 16S ribosomal RNA
Rfam family: Bacterial small subunit ribosomal RNA
Source: RNAcentral